This 495-nucleotide ribosomal RNA is filed under the name uncultured bacterium. Its description in RNAcentral is "partial 16S ribosomal RNA". It matches the Rfam family "Bacterial small subunit ribosomal RNA", at positions 28 to 507 of the family's 1533-position model. The record is from RNAcentral.
GACGAACGCUGGCGGCGUGCCUAAUACAUGCAAGUAGAACGCUGAAGGAGGAGCUUGCUCUUCUGGAUGAGUUGCGAACGGGUGAGUAACGCGUAGGUAACCUGCCUGGUAGCGGGGGAUAACUAUUGGAAACGAUAGCUAAUACCGCAUAACAGUAGAUGUUGCAUGACAUUUGCUUAAAAGGUGCAAUUGCACCACUACCAGAUGGACCUGCGUUGUAUUAGCUAGUUGGUGGGGUAACGGCUCACCAAGGCGACGAUACAUAGCCGACCUGAGAGGGGGAUCGGCCACACUGGGACUGAGACACGGCCCAGACUCCUACGGGAGGCAGCAGUAGGGAAUCUUCGGCAAUGGACGGAAGUCUGACCGAGCAACGCCGCGGGAGUGAAGAAGGGUUUCGGAUCGUAAAGCUCUGUUGUAAGAGAAGAACGAGUGUGAGAGUGGAAAGUUCACACUGUGACGGUAUCUUACCAGAAAGGGACGGCUAACUACGUG